AUGCCCAGCCCCUCAAUCAGUGGGCAGAUCAGCACCUGGAUGUCUCUUCUACCACUCCGUCGCCAGCCCACAAGUUGGAGCUGUCCUCUGCGGGCCGUCAGCGAUGCCACUAUGCCUGGGCCCACGAUGACAUCUCUACUCUCACAGCCUCCAAUCUCCUCAAGCGCUAUGCUGAGAAGUACUCAGGUGUCCUCAACUCUCCCUAUGACAGGCCUGCCCUGGGUGGAUAUGCUGAAGCCACCUUUGGGGCCAUCAAUGGGGCCAAAGGGAGAUGCGGAGUCCUGGCCUGGAACACCUGGGACAGAGCCGCCAUACCCAGUUACCUCCCUCCAUGAGGGUCUCCCAGGAACGAAGUCAGCCAGUGGGGGUGUGGGAGGGGGGCCAGGAGGCCUAGGAGGGUCUCCCGUAUUAUCCGGGAGUCUUCCUGAACCUCUAUACACUGGCAAUGCCUGUGGGGGGCCGUCUGGAGGGCCAGAGUAUGGUCCUGGAUAUGGUGGGGGGUACCUUGCCACUGGGUACUGUGGGCAAGCAAGUGCAGCUCUGCCCCCACCACCCUCAGCAGGGCUCCUCCAGCCACCUCCUCCCCCUGGCUAUGGCCCCUCCAGCUCCCUGUACAACUACCCCUCAGGGGGCUACCCAGCCCAGCCUGGAUUUGGGGGCCUCCCCCCACCCCCACCCCCUGCCCCUUACCUUUCCUCGGGUCUGGCAACACCCACCCCCUUGCCCCCACCAGCCCCUGCCCCACCAACACCUGCAGCCUACAGUUUCCAGCCUCCCCCACCAGGGAGCGAGCCAGGCAUUUCACUAAAGCGCAAGGCAUUUGAUGAAGGUGGGGAAGGCCGAUACCACAAGUAUGGUUAUGAGCCCACCAAACCCCCCAUCCCCGAUGGUCCCCCCUACCCUCCUUCAAACAACAAUGGUGAAUGCCAAGGCAACGGUUUCCGAGGGAAGCUGCCAGGGACCAGGGAGGAGGUGUUGGGAAAGUACGGUGGUAGUGGGGGUCCUUCUCUUAAGGUGCUGGGCUCUCCAGCCUACACCCCACACCAAGAGUCCUUUGAGAAGUUCCCAGAGCGGGUGUCUGUGGAGCGAGGGCUGGCUCCACCCUCUCGGGGGGGGCUUUGCUGUCCCGGGGGAGCCUCCCAAGGGUGUGGACCCUGUGGCUCUGGAGCUAGUGACCAGCAAGAUGGUGGACUGUGGCCCCCCAGUGCAAUGGGCUGA
This 1218-nucleotide long non-coding RNA is filed under the name Phascolarctos cinereus (koala). RNAcentral's name for it is "lncRNA (ENSPCIG00000031757.1)". Lineage: Eukaryota; Metazoa; Chordata; Mammalia; Diprotodontia; Phascolarctidae. The record is from RNAcentral.